CCUGAACUAGUUAGGUGUUUCCAAAAAAGAUUUAGUAUUCCUCGUGUAAAAAUGUAAAUACAGAGAAAAGCAGCAGAGCUCUUUCUCCAGGUUUUCUAGCAGGGCCAGGCUGGAGAAAGGUAGGAGUUAGGCAAACCAGCAGCAGAGCUAAGUGCCUACAUGUAUGAUGGCAAUAGGGUGGGAGGACGCUUCCACUCCUGUCUUCACCCCAGUCCUGCGCACUGAGCAGAAAAGCCCUUGACUCUUCUCUGGUGCCUCGUCAAAAUGCCUCAGGGGCUUGAAGGUGGCCAGCAGCAGUGACGGGCCAUGGGGUCGCCCUUGCAGACAAGGUUUGACCUGCCAGUCACCGUCUGAAGGGCCUUGUCUGCUAUUAAUAUUUCCCUGAGAAUGAACAGCAAAUCUCCGAAAAGGGACUCCACCUCUUGUGUAAGUAAAUGCCACGAUUAGGACUUGGAUUUACUAAAAAAUCAGUGCAGUAACUUUACAUGUAGAUAGCGCGGAUAUUCAGUUUACUUCUAGUGACCUACUACAGUAUGUCCAGUAAGAUUUGUAUAAAUGUAAAUUAGUGUAAGUGAAUAAAGUAAUACCUACUUACGUUAUUUUCCAAACAGAUUGCAAUAUGCCUUCUUUUGUUUAGACUUCAGUCCAUGUUAAUUUUGUAUAUAUACCAUGUCUUACUCUAAAUUGCACCUUUCGUGAUGUGUAUUUAUAUACAGUGUGCAAAAACACUUGUGAAAUUUAGAUGACAGUUGUAAUUAUGUAUGAUGGCAUUGCUUGAGAAUAUUUUGCUUGUAAAGACUUUAAAGGUGCAAUCAAAUGCUCUUAGUUCUUCUAUUUUGUUUUGAACAAGCUUUCUCAAAUACUAAGCUUGGAUUCCUCUCUCCCUUCUCCCUGAUGUAGAAUGUGUGAAUUGGGUUUUGUACUUCCUUAGCCAUUUGCAUCAAACUGCUGGACAAGAUUUACAGUCAAGUUCAUCCAGUUACAUAAAAAUAAUUGGGAAUGGGGCAAAGGGUUCAUUUUCUAGUUCUGUUUACAUCUGAAAGUAGACAAAUUAAAUUUAUAUUUACUAGACCUAUUCAAAGAAUACACUUUUCUAUAUUGUACAAAUAAAACAGUCCGAUAAAUCACAAAGAAAAAAAUAAACCUUUAUACUAUUC
Molecule: long non-coding RNA, 1157 nt
Filed under: Strigops habroptila (Kakapo)
Lineage: Eukaryota; Metazoa; Chordata; Aves; Psittaciformes; Psittacidae
Description: lncRNA (ENSSHBG00005015358.1)
Source: RNAcentral